GGGGUGCCCAGGCGCGAAAACUUUGCCAUAACGAAAGUGUGACAGGGUCAUCCCGAGUGCCGACCGCUGAGGUUGGCUUUUACCCAGUCUAGAAAGCUGGGGGAAUAAGGAGAGGGCAAGUCUGGUGUCAGCCGCCGCGGUAAUACCAGCUCUCCGAGUGGUGUGGACGUUUAUUGGGCCUAAAGCAUCCGUAGCUGGCUGAACAAGUCCCCUGUUAAACCCACCGAUUUAAUCGUUGGUCUGCGGGGGAUACUGCUCGGCUAGGGGACGAGAGAGGCAGACGGUAUUCCCGGGGUAGGGGUGAAAUCCUAUAAUCCCGAGAAGACCACCAGUGGCGAAGGCUGUCUGCUAGAACGCGCCCGACGGUGAGGGAUGAAAGCUGGGGGAGCGAACCGGAUUAGAUACCCGGGUAGUCCCAGCUGUAAACGAUGCAGACUAGGUGUUUGGACGGCCACGUGCCGUUCUAGUGCCGCAGGGAAGCUGUCAAGUCUGCCGCCUGGGGAGUACGAUCGCAAGAUUGAAACUUAAAGGAAUUGGCGGGGGAGCAC
Molecule: ribosomal RNA, 548 nt
Filed under: uncultured archaeon
Lineage: Archaea
Description: bacterial SSU rRNA
Rfam family: Archaeal small subunit ribosomal RNA
Source: RNAcentral